This 495-nucleotide ribosomal RNA is filed under the name uncultured bacterium. Its description in RNAcentral is "partial 16S ribosomal RNA". It matches the Rfam family "Bacterial small subunit ribosomal RNA", at positions 28 to 506 of the family's 1533-position model. The record is from RNAcentral.
GAUGAACGCUGGCGGCGUGCCUAAUACAUGCAAGUCGAGCGAACAGAUAAGGAGCUUGCUCCUUUGACGUUAGCGGCGGACGGGUGAGUAACACGUGGGUAACCUACCUAUAAGACUGGGAUAACUUCGGGAAACCGGAGCUAAUACCGGAUAACAUUUGGAACCGCAUGGUUCUAAAGUGAAAGAUGGUUUUGCUAUCACUACUAGAUGGACCCGCGCCGUAUUAGCUAGUUGGUAAGGUAACGGCUUACCAAGGCGACGAUACGUAGCCGACCUGAGAGGGGUAGCGGCCAUGCUGGAACUGAGACACGGACCAGACUCCUACGGGAGGCAGCAGUAGUGAAUCAUCCGCAAUGGGCGAAAGCCGACGGAGCAACGCCGCGUGAGUGAUGAAGGGUUUCGGCUCGUAAAACGCUGUUAUUAGGGAAGAACAAAUGUGUAAGUAACUGUGCGCGUCUUGACGGUACCUAAUCAGAAAGCCACGGCUAACUACGG